UCCGUAGGUGGCGAGCGUUAUCCGGAUUUACUGGGCGUAAAGCGCUUGUAGGCGGCUUCGUAAGUUGGGCGUGAAAGCUCUGGGCUUAACCCGGAGAGGCCGUCCAAUACUGCGGAGCUCGAGGGUGCCAGAGGAAGGUGGAAUUCCUGGUGUAGCGGUGAAAUGCGGAGAUAUCAGGAGGAACACCCGUGGCGGAGGCGGCUUUCUGGGGCAUUCCUGACGCUGAGAAGCGAAAGCUAGGGGAGAAAACAGG
Molecule: ribosomal RNA, 253 nt
Filed under: uncultured bacterium
Lineage: Bacteria
Description: partial 16S ribosomal RNA
Rfam family: Bacterial small subunit ribosomal RNA
Source: RNAcentral